This 495-nucleotide ribosomal RNA is filed under the name uncultured bacterium. Its description in RNAcentral is "partial 16S ribosomal RNA". It matches the Rfam family "Bacterial small subunit ribosomal RNA", at positions 28 to 505 of the family's 1533-position model. The record is from RNAcentral.
GAUGAACGCUGGCGGCGUGCCUAAUACAUGCAAGUCGAGCGAACGGACGAGAAGCUUGCUUCUCUGAUGUUAGCGGCGGACGGGUGAGUAACACGUGGAUAACCUACCUAUAAGACUGGGAUAACUUCGGGAAACCGGAGCUAAUACCGGAUGAUAUUUUGAACCGCAUGGUUCAAAAGUGAAAGACGGUCUUGCUGUCACUUAUAGAUGGAUCCGCGCUGCAUUAGCUAGUUGGUAAGGUAACGGCUUACCAAGGCAACGAUGCAUAGCCGACCUGAGAGGGUGAUCGGCCACACUGGAACUGAGACACGGUCCAGACUCCUACGGGAGGCAGCAGUAGGGAAUCUUCCGCGAUGGGCGAAAGCCUGACGGAGCAACGCCGCGUGAGUGAUGAAGGUCUUCGGAUCGUAAAACUCUGUUAUUAGGGAAGAACAUAUGUGUAAGUAACUGUGCACAUCUUGACGGUACCUAAUCAGAAAGCCACGGCUAACUACG